Long non-coding RNA from Mus caroli (Ryukyu mouse), 367 nucleotides. RefSeq lists it as uncharacterized. The record is from RefSeq and is a predicted model, not a curated record. NCBI's taxonomy places the organism in Eukaryota, Metazoa, Chordata, Mammalia, Rodentia, Muridae.
CAACAGAAGCUUGUUCAGUAGUUGGUGUGUGUCAUUCUGGCAGGAGUGUGGCACCUGCAUUCUUUCAGUCUUAAGUGACAGAAGGCCAUCUAAAAGUCAGAUGUAAAGCUGAUGGCUUGUCUGCCCAGAAUGGAAGGGGUGCUCAGGAGGAAAACCUCCCCAGCUUCCCUCACAAAGAUACAUGGUCAAGUGCACCCAGUAUCUUCCAUCUCUGGGCUCCUGUGAAAGACUUCUGUCAAUAUGGGACGGUGACUUUGGAGCUUCGCACUGAGAGGAUGGUAUCUGCUCAAAAUAAAUACAAGAAGAAUGGUAAUGACCAGCUGAACUAGUGUGUCAGCAGGCGAUGUUGUCCAAAGAGCCGUGGAGU